AAAUUGAAGAGUUUGAUCAUGGCUCAGAUUGAACGCUGGCGGCAGGCCUAACACAUGCAAGUCGAACGGUAACAGGAAACAGCUUGCUGUUUCGCUGACGAGUGGCGGACGGGUGAGUAAUGUCUGGGAAACUGCCUGAUGGAGGGGGAUAACUACUGGAAACGGUAGCUAAUACCGCAUAACGUCGCAAGACCAAAGAGGGGGACCUUCGGGCCUCUUGCCAUCGGAUGUGCCCAGAUGGGAUUAGCUAGUAGGUGGGGUAACGGCUCACCUAGGCGACGAUCCCUAGCUGGUCUGAGAGGAUGACCAGCCACACUGGAACUGAGACACGGUCCAGACUCCUACGGGAGGCAGCAGUGGGGAAUAUUGCACAAUGGGCGCAAGCCUGAUGCAGCCAUGCCGCGUGUAUGAAGAAGGCCUUCGGGUUGUAAAGUACUUUCAGCGGGGAGGAAGGGAGUAAAGUUAAUA
Molecule: ribosomal RNA, 468 nt
Filed under: Escherichia coli
Lineage: Bacteria; Pseudomonadati; Pseudomonadota; Gammaproteobacteria; Enterobacterales; Enterobacteriaceae
Description: bacterial SSU rRNA
Rfam family: Bacterial small subunit ribosomal RNA
Source: RNAcentral